RNAcentral lists this ribosomal RNA (481 nucleotides) under uncultured bacterium. RNAcentral's name for it is "partial 16S ribosomal RNA". It matches the Rfam family "Bacterial small subunit ribosomal RNA", at positions 28 to 507 of the family's 1533-position model. The record is from RNAcentral.
GAUGAACGCUGGCGGCGUGCUUAACACAUGCAAGUCGAACGAAGCAUUUAGAACAGAUUACUUCGGUUUGAAGUUCUUUAUGACUGAGUGGCGGACGGGUGAGUAACGCGUGGGUAACCUGCCUUGUACUGGGGGAUAGCAGCUGGAAACGGCUGGUAAUACCGCAUAAGCGCACAAUGUUGCAUGACAUGGUGUGAAAAACUCCGGUGGUAUAAGAUGGACCCGCGUCUGAUUAGCUAGUUGGUGAGAUAACAGCCCACCAAGGCGACGAUCAGUAGCCGACCUGAGAGGGUGACCGGCCACAUUGGGACUGAGACACGGCCCAGACUCCUACGGGAGGCAGCAGUGGGGAAUAUUGCACAAGGGAGGAAACUCUGAUGCAGCGACGCCGCGUGAGUGAAGAAGUAAUUCGUUAUGUAAAGCUCUAUCAGCAGGGAAGAUAGUGACGGUACCUGACUAAGAAGCUCCGGCUAAAUACGUG